CAGUGUGGGGCUGUGGAGUCCCGGGUGUGACAGGAGGGACAGUGUGGGGCUGUGGAGUCCCGGGUGUGACAGGAGGCACAGUGUGGGGCUGAGGACCCCGGGUGUGACAGGAGGGACAGUGUGGGGCUGUGGACCCCGGGUGUGACAGGAGGGACAGUGUGGGGCUGAGGACCCCGGGUGUGACAGGAGGGACAGUGUGGGGCUGUGGUCCCCGGGUGUGACAGGAGUGACGGUGUGAGGCUGAGGACCCCGGGUGUGACAGGAGUGACAGUGUGGGGCUGAGGACCCCGGGUGUGACAGGAGUGACAGUGUGGGGCUGUGGAGUCCCGGGUGUGACAGGAGGGACAGUGUGGGGCUGAGGACCCCGGGUGUGACAGGAGUGACGGUGUGGGGCUGUGGACCCCGGGUGUGACAGG
Molecule: non-coding RNA, 416 nt
Organism: Oryctolagus cuniculus (rabbit)
Lineage: Eukaryota; Metazoa; Chordata; Mammalia; Lagomorpha; Leporidae
Source: RefSeq, a predicted model, not a curated record